RNAcentral lists this ribosomal RNA (305 nucleotides) under uncultured bacterium. RNAcentral describes it as "partial 16S ribosomal RNA". It matches the Rfam family "Bacterial small subunit ribosomal RNA", at positions 335 to 657 of the family's 1533-position model. The record is from RNAcentral.
CUGCCUACGGGGCGCAGCAGUGGGGGAUAUUGCACAAUGGGGGGAACCCUGAUGCAGCGACGCCGCGUGGGUGAAGAAGCGCCUCGGCGCGUAAAGCCCUGUCAGCAGGGAAGAAAAUGACGGUACCUGAAGAAGAAGCCCCGGCUAACUACGUGCCAGCAGCCGCGGUAAUACGUAGGGGGCAAGCGUUAUCCGGAAUUACUGGGUGUAAAGGGAGCGUAGACGGCAAUGCAAGUCCGGAGUGGAAUGCGGCAGCUCAACUGCCGAACUGCUCUGGAAACUGUAUGGCUUGAGUGCAGGGGGGG